RNAcentral lists this ribosomal RNA (468 nucleotides) under uncultured bacterium. RNAcentral's name for it is "partial 16S ribosomal RNA". It matches the Rfam family "Bacterial small subunit ribosomal RNA", at positions 28 to 508 of the family's 1533-position model. The record is from RNAcentral.
GACGAACGCUGGCGGCGUGCUUAACACAUGCAAGUCGAACGGAAAGGCUCCAGCUUGCUGGAGUACUCGAGUGGCGAACGGGUGAGUAACACGUGGGUAAUCUGCCCUGCACUCUGGGAUAAGCCUGGGAAACUGGGUCUAAUACUGGAUAUGACCUUUCUCCUUAUGGGGUUUGGUGGAAAGUUUUUCGGUGUAGGAUGAGCCCGCGGCCUAUCAGCUUGUUGGUGGGGUGAUGGCCUACCAAGGCGACGACGGGUAGCCGGCCUGAGAGGGUGAUCGGCCACAUUGGGACUGAGAUACGGCCCAGACUCCUACGGGAGGCAGCAGUCGGGAAUAUUGCACAAUGGGCGGAAGCCUGAUGCAGCGACGCCGCGUGAGGGAUGACGGCCUUAGGGUUGUAAACCUCUUUCAGCAGGGACGAAGCGUAAGUGACGGUACCUGCAGAAGAAGCACCGGCUAACUAUGUGC